This 630-nucleotide long non-coding RNA is filed under the name Homo sapiens (human). Its description in RNAcentral is "non-protein coding lnc-GSTM3-4:2". The record is from RNAcentral. Lineage: Eukaryota; Metazoa; Chordata; Mammalia; Primates; Hominidae.
AAAGGGCAGCCACUCUCCCCACAUACAACACACACCCAAGCCUAGGAAGAGACAGGGGACAGAGGCUGGGGACAGAGGCACAAGAGUCAGGUAGAUGACACCUCAGCCCUAGGCCACCAAAGGGCUAGGAUGAGCUGGUCAGGAGCUCCCAGAAGCCACACCUAGCUCUGGUGGCCUCACAGUUGACCUCUCCACCUGGCCCAGGAGGAGCUGGACUCUUACCGCCUAGACAGCAUCCAGGCCAUGAAUGUGGCGCUCAACACAUGUUCCUACAACUCCAUCCUGUCCAUCACCGUGCAGGAGCCGGGCCUGCCAGGCACUAGCACUCUGCUCUUCCAGUGCCAGGAAGUGGGGGCAGAGCGACUGAAGACCAGCCUGCAGAAGGCUCUGGAGGAAGAGCUGGAGCAAAGCAGACCUCGACUUGGAGGCCUUCAGCCAGGCCAGGACAGAUGGAGGGGGCCUGCUAUGGAAAGGCCGCUCCCUAUGGAGCAGGCACGCUAUCUGGAGCCGGGGAUCCCUCCAGAACAGCCCCACCAGAGGACCCUAGAGCACAGCCUCCCACCAUCCCCAAGGCCCCUGCCACGCCACACCAGUGCCCGAGAACCAAGUGCCUUUACUCUGCCUCCUCCA